GAUGAACGCUGGCGGCGUGCCUAAUACAUGCGAGUCGAGCGAACAGAUGAGGAGCUUGCUCCUCUGACGUUAGCGGCGGACGGGUGAGUAACACGUGGAUAACCUACCUAUAAGACUGGGAUAACUUCGGGGAACCGGAGCUAAUACCGGAUAAUAUAUUGAACCGCAUGGUUCAAUAGUGAAAGACGGUUUUGCUGUCACUUAUAGAUGGAUCCGCGCCGCAUUAGCUAGUUGGUAAGGUAACGGCUUACCAAGGCAACGAUGCGUAGCCGACCUGAGAGGGUGAUCGGCCACACUGGAACUGAGACACGGUCCAGACUCCUACGGGAGGCAGCAGUAGGGAAUCUUCCGCAAUGGGCGAAAGCCUGACGGAGCAACGCCGCGUGAGUGAUGAAGGUCUUCGGAUCGUAAAACUCUGUUAUUAGGGAAGAACAAAUGUGUAAGUAACUAUGCACGUCUUGACGGUACCUAAUCAGAAAGCCACGGCUAACUACGUG
This 497-nucleotide ribosomal RNA is filed under the name uncultured bacterium. Its description in RNAcentral is "partial 16S ribosomal RNA". It matches the Rfam family "Bacterial small subunit ribosomal RNA", at positions 28 to 507 of the family's 1533-position model. The record is from RNAcentral.